This 723-nucleotide long non-coding RNA is filed under the name Homo sapiens (human). RNAcentral describes it as "HSALNT0342209". The record is from RNAcentral. Lineage: Eukaryota; Metazoa; Chordata; Mammalia; Primates; Hominidae.
GACACAUUCGUGGUGUUUUAAGCCAUCUGACUUGCAGUACUCUGUCCCAGCCGCCCUAGCAAAUGAACACAGACGGCUACUUAAGAGUCCCUCUCCGGUUACCCAGCCCACCCUAGAGGCCACUUUUAGCCAGAGUGUUGGGGCCUUGACCCCACACUGCCUCGUCCCCUCUGUCCUCGCCCCGACCCUGACGCAUCAGAGCCGGGACACUGGUGACUUUCCUGGGGAAAUCUCUAGAUGUGACCUCUAUGGCCGGGGACAGGGGACUGGGUUUGAGUCUUGAGUCCUUUCCAGCAAGCGCCUUCCCGCUUGGAGCCUUGUUUCCUUCCUGGAUAAAUGGGCGGGGAAGCAUCACGGAGGUGUGCGGGUUUAAUCGGCACAUGCGCUGCUGCCUGCAGGCCAAGCUCAGGAUAAGCUCUUGCAGUAAAUAGCAACGUUUAUGUCCCUCGACUCCUGGCUCAGAGACGCGACCCAGAAUCUGGCAACCAUACCCGCCCCUUAGCUGGCCCCCCUCCACUGAUGACUAAUGGCCAGGUGUAAGACAGUCUUCCGAAGGGGCCGUAAGACCACCAUGGGCUCAAGAUAGACAUUGAGUCCUGCCCUCGCCCACCUCCUCCUCUCUCCACCUCCACAUCUUGGUUUCUUGUCCUCCGUGUGCAAAAUGUGCUUUCCUGCCCCACCUACGUCUCCACAUAUGAAGAAUCAAUAACAAUUUUAGAGAGA